Molecule: long non-coding RNA, 400 nt
Organism: Pocillopora damicornis (cauliflower coral)
Lineage: Eukaryota; Metazoa; Cnidaria; Anthozoa; Scleractinia; Pocilloporidae
Source: RefSeq, a predicted model, not a curated record
UCAGCUGCGUGAUAUCGGUGUACCGACGGUCGGAUCGUACUACUCUUGCUAAAUAUGAGGGAGUUAAUGAAACGUUACCAAUCUUUAUCGAGAUUCUAUGCCACCCUUGGAAAAAACUGGGUGCUAACAGCUGGUGCAUGGGGAACAGGACUGGGAGUUGUUUUCUUGUACGUAACAGACUGGAAAGUUGUCACCCAAAAGAUUCCUUUUAUUAAGGAUAAAUAUGAUCAUGAAAUUCCUAAAUGAGCGGAGAGCUGAGAUUUGCACAGAUGCCAUGUUGCUUUAAGAUGUCAGAGGACUGAAUAAUUAUUUUACAGCUUCAAAUAUUUCCAUUUCUGAAGCCAAUGACCUUCUGGUGUUGUAAAGACUGUUGAUUAUUAAAUGGUACAUUUGUUUAUAG